AGCGGAAACUUAAGUAACAAAAGAUCUCACAAGAGCUCGAUAAAAACUUAUAAGGUCGAUAGAUUCUUAUCAAAGUUGAUACUCUGGACGUACCAAGAAGGUCUUUUGAUGAAGACGAUGCUCUUCUCUAAUCAAAAUAGGGUUUAGAGUUUGAUUUUUGUUUUAAACAUUAGAAAACCUUUAAAAAAAAAAAAAAAAAAAUAGGGUUUAGAGUACUCCUCUAAAUGAUAUAAAGCUUUGAAUGUAAUUGCAAUUUGAUAAUAAGAAUGAGUUGUGGUUUACAUUGACUAAAACUUACUAUUUAAACUACAAUAUAACCUCUAUAAAUUAAUAAUAUUGGAACUACACCAAAACUAUAAUUUUUUAUUAAUUUAUAUAGAUAUUAAUUUAUCGAUAUACUA
This 401-nucleotide long non-coding RNA is filed under the name Brassica napus (rape). Its description in RNAcentral is "long non-coding RNA (BNAP_LNC002356)". Lineage: Eukaryota; Viridiplantae; Streptophyta; Magnoliopsida; Brassicales; Brassicaceae. The record is from RNAcentral.